AUUUAAGUAACAUAUUUAUGUAAUUAGUUUCGACCUAAUAAAUGAUUUUUAUUUAAUCCUUAAAUU
This 66-nucleotide transfer RNA is filed under the name Odontocolon albotibiale. RNAcentral describes it as "tRNA-Arg". Lineage: Eukaryota; Metazoa; Arthropoda; Insecta; Hymenoptera; Ichneumonidae. The record is from RNAcentral.